RNAcentral lists this ribosomal RNA (263 nucleotides) under uncultured Staphylococcus sp. RNAcentral describes it as "partial 16S ribosomal RNA". It matches the Rfam family "Bacterial small subunit ribosomal RNA", at positions 99 to 356 of the family's 1533-position model. The record is from RNAcentral. Lineage: Bacteria; Bacillati; Bacillota; Bacilli; Caryophanales; Staphylococcaceae.
CGGACGGGUGAGUAACACGUGGAUAACCUACCUAUAAGACUGGGAUAACUUCGGGAAACCGGAGCUAAUACCGGAUAAUAUAUUGAACCGCAUGGUUCAAUGGUGAAAGACGGUUUUGCUGUCACUUAUAGAUGGAUCCGCGCCGCAUUAGCUAGUUGGUAAGGUAACGGCUUACCAAGGCAACGAUGCGUAGCCGACCUGAGAGGGUGAUCGGCCACACUGGAACUGAGACACGGUCCAGACUCCUACGGGAGGCAGCAGUG